UAUGAACUUUACGUAUCAUAUUCUAUAUAUGAGCGGGAUAAAUAAUACACCCAAAUAUUUAGAAUAUGUUUGAUUUAGUUUGGUUAUUAAUAUUAUUGUGAAUUGUACGUGCAGAGAGUUGUUCUUGGCAGUAGUGGAUCUCAUGAAUUUAUCGUCAAGGCUGGAUAUGCCAAACUCAAGAAAAAAUAUGGUAUUAAUUCGAAUCGAAAGUGCUCCGAGUCUCGCAGUACGCCUGAGAACAGAGAAGAGAAUUAUACAGAUGAUCAAGCGGUGAAUUGCACAAAUGAUCAAGUAGCUAAUUGUACAAAUGAACAGGCGAAUUGUACAAGUGAGCAAGUAGUGAAUUGUUCAAGUUAUCAAGCAGAGGAGUUUCGCGGAGAAGAUUUUUGUGGUGAAGAUUUCUGCGGAGAAGUUUUUUCUGGAGGAGAAGAGUUUCACGGAGAAGAUUUUGACAGGGAAGAAUUCGAGGGAGACAAGAUUUUCAGAAGCGUUGAAUUUACAACGCGAGUCCCCAUUUCAUCCAAGACAGCUACUCGUGUUGAUGAUUUCGUAUCAUUCAUAUUUAACAAUGCACAUCAAGAUGAAGAGAAGUAGGCUAGCUAUGUAACUAGAGUUUGGAAAUCAGAUCAUCUUGUGCAAAUCUGGAUGAGUGAUUAGUUGUUGGCUUGUUGCAUUGUUAUGAACUUGAAAAUGUGACCAAAUGCCUCUAAAUUCUAAUCAACUUCUGCAGAAUCGUUAGAGCAUCUCCAGCAAUGUAGAAGACUUAGCUAAAAAUCAUUAAUGUCUGACAAAUCCAUUUCAGCCUAUCCGUUGGAGAUGCUCUGACAGAUCUAUGGAUUGAUGUGUACAUGUGCA
Daucus carota subsp. sativus is the source of this 855-nucleotide long non-coding RNA. RefSeq lists it as uncharacterized. The record is from RefSeq and is a predicted model, not a curated record. Lineage: Eukaryota; Viridiplantae; Streptophyta; Magnoliopsida; Apiales; Apiaceae. The transcript is spliced from 3 exons.